GGCUGCAAUGCCACACUCAGGCACCUAAAUAAAUGGCCUGACCUUUCUCAAAUGCUGAAUACCAAGAACUUCUCACUCGAAUCUGCCGAAGCCGUGGCUGUUCAGCUCCUCUGAAAAUCAAUCCACUCGUUUAGAUGCCUGAAUAUGAAUGUUAGUGCCAGACUUUGGACAGUGACAUAGGAAGAUAUUGGCCUGAGCCUACGCAUGGACUCUCAUCCUACAAUCCAGCCCCUCAACAGAUACAUCCCAGCUUCUGACUGUGAGCCAUUCAGCUACAAUGGGGAGGCCUAGAUGCUAGCCCCACAUGAGAGAGGGAAGGAUUUCAGGCCCAAGGCCCAAGUGGGGCAGGAAGAAGCACACGCUCACCUCAGUUGCCUUCUUUGCUGAGGGCGCACUGUCCAGCACGCCGGCAGACAGACCCAGAUCAGAAGGCCUG
Molecule: long non-coding RNA, 436 nt
Organism: Malaclemys terrapin pileata
Lineage: Eukaryota; Metazoa; Chordata; Testudines; Emydidae
Exons: 3
Source: RefSeq, a predicted model, not a curated record